Rattus norvegicus (Norway rat) is the source of this 77-nucleotide small nucleolar RNA. Ensembl annotates it as small nucleolar RNA, C/D box 121B. Its record names the gene Snord121b. Lineage: Eukaryota; Metazoa; Chordata; Mammalia; Rodentia; Muridae. The record is from Ensembl.
CUGGAAAAGGCGAUGAUGUUUCCAAGCACAUAUCCGAUGCCUAUGUGUGGAUGAUGAUAUCACUGAGUCUUUUCCGA